Molecule: ribosomal RNA, 130 nt
Filed under: Silurus asotus (Amur catfish)
Lineage: Eukaryota; Metazoa; Chordata; Actinopteri; Siluriformes; Siluridae
Also listed under: 1 other name
Description: partial 5.8S ribosomal RNA
Rfam family: 5.8S ribosomal RNA
About the family: 5.8S ribosomal RNA (5.8S rRNA) is a component of the large subunit of the eukaryotic ribosome. It is transcribed by RNA polymerase I as part of the 45S precursor that also contains 18S and 28S rRNA.
Source: RNAcentral
CUCGUGCGUCGAUGAAGAACGCAGCCAGCUGCGAGAACUAAUGUGAAUUGCAGGACACAUUGAUCAUCGACACUUCGAACGCACAUUGCGGCCCCGGGUCCCUCCCGGGGCUACGCCUGUCUGAGGGUCG